Molecule: ribosomal RNA, 253 nt
Filed under: uncultured bacterium
Lineage: Bacteria
Description: partial 16S ribosomal RNA
Rfam family: Bacterial small subunit ribosomal RNA
Source: RNAcentral
UACGUAGGGUGCGAGCGUUACUCGGAAUUACUGGGCGUAAAGCGUGCGCAGGCGGUUCGUUGUGUCGGCGGUGAAAGCCCCGGGCUCAACCUGGGAAUGGCCGUUGAAACUGGCGAACUGGAGUGUGGCAGAGGGGGGUGGAAUUCCGCGUGUAGCAGUGAAAUGCGUAGAGAUGCGGAGGAACACCGAUGGCGAAGGCAGCCCCCUGGGCUGACACUGACGCUCAGGCACGAAAGCGUGGGGAGCGAACAGG